GCCCGACUUGAGUGGAGCUCAUUUUUGCAAUGGGAAAGCUUUGGCAAAAAAUAGCGGGAACGGAAGGCGGAAUAGCUG
RNAcentral lists this small RNA (78 nucleotides) under Epilithonimonas arachidiradicis. RNAcentral describes it as "Chryseobacterium arachidiradicis Flavo-1 RNA". Lineage: Bacteria; Pseudomonadati; Bacteroidota; Flavobacteriia; Flavobacteriales; Weeksellaceae. The record is from RNAcentral.